UACGAAGGGGGCUAGCGUUGCUCGGAAUGACUGGGCGUAAAGGGCGCGUAGGCGGUUAGUACAGUCAGACGUGAAAUUCCCGGGCUCAACCUGGGGGCUGCGUUUGAUACGUGCGGGCUUGAGUUCGGAAGAGGGUUGUGGAAUUCCCAGUGUAGAGGUGAAAUUCGUAGAUAUUGGGAAGAACACCGGUGGCGAAGGCGGCGACCUGGUCCGAUACUGACGCUGAGGCGCGAAAGCGUGGGGAGCAAACAGG
RNAcentral lists this ribosomal RNA (253 nucleotides) under uncultured bacterium. RNAcentral describes it as "partial 16S ribosomal RNA". It matches the Rfam family "Bacterial small subunit ribosomal RNA", at positions 524 to 776 of the family's 1533-position model. The record is from RNAcentral.